Molecule: long non-coding RNA, 714 nt
Organism: Neocloeon triangulifer
Lineage: Eukaryota; Metazoa; Arthropoda; Insecta; Ephemeroptera; Baetidae
Exons: 3
Source: RefSeq, a predicted model, not a curated record
GUCCAAGUCCAACCACCUGCAGCCGGAAUAGCCCGAUCGCUGACAAACAUUUAACAUGUGUUGAUUUGUUGAUUUUCGCGGGCUGACGGAGGGACGAAGAGCGAGCAGAAAUUUUGUAAGCAAAUAAAAGUGAUCUGUCAGGAUUUGGCCGAUAGGUGGUUUUGACGGCAGGCAGAGAGAUGGCGAGCGAAAAUAAGUGCAGAAUCUGCAAAAAUGAACAGCUCAAUCCAGACGCUUGCCUCAAUCUUUUGGAUGCCAACCAGGAGUUGGUGAAAAAUUGGCUGAAGCAAAAUUUCAACGACGAGACUCCAGUCGAGGAGGAAGGAUUCUCUGUGAUUGUGUGUUGGAUUUGUGUCAACACAGCAAGGGCCCUCCACAAAUUUGCUUCGACUUGUUGCCAGCUGAAUGGCAUUGCCUUCGAAAAGCAAGAUUGGUGGACCAAACUGGAAUAACUAAGAUCUAGACAGGCCUAUCCUAUGUUGAGCUGAAGUAUUAUCAAAUUUAGAAACAUAAGUGGGUCAAAUGAAAAUUAUUAUCUAAUUAACUAUAGUGACAUAAAGGUUCCUUAAAAUAUUUCUUAAAAACUACAAUAAUGGUCCUUAAGCAACAAAAGCUGAAAAACCUUUAAGUUGUAUCUUAACAGAUCUGUUUAUUAGCCUUACAAACUUUUGCAAGUAAAUAUAAAUAAAAUCUUUUUCAAUAAAUAAUUAAAUA